UACGUAGGGGGCAAGCGUUAUCCGGAUUUACUGGGUGUAAAGGGGGCGCAGACGGCGAUGCAAGCCAGGAGUGAAAGCCCGGGGCCCAACCCCGGGACUGCUCUUGGAACUGCGUGGCUGGAGUGCAGGAGGGGCAGGCGGAAUUCCUGGUGUAGCGGUGAAAUGCGUAGAUAUCAGGAGGAACACCGGUGGCGUAGGCGGCCUGCUGGACUGCAACUGACGUUGAGGCUCGAGAGCGUGGGGAGCAAACAGG
RNAcentral lists this ribosomal RNA (253 nucleotides) under uncultured bacterium. RNAcentral describes it as "partial 16S ribosomal RNA". It matches the Rfam family "Bacterial small subunit ribosomal RNA", at positions 524 to 776 of the family's 1533-position model. The record is from RNAcentral.